This is a long non-coding RNA of Pseudophryne corroboree (corroboree frog), 944 nucleotides long. RefSeq lists it as uncharacterized. The record is from RefSeq and is a predicted model, not a curated record. The transcript is spliced from 4 exons. NCBI's taxonomy places the organism in Eukaryota, Metazoa, Chordata, Amphibia, Anura, Myobatrachidae.
GUGACGGGGAGCAGAUGAUUACAUCACGUCAGGGCGCCGUUAGCAAGCCGAUUCACAUGCUGUGGUGAAGGGAGUUAAUGUACGAAAGAGACGCAGCACAGCCAGGCCACAACCCACACUGCCAAGAGAUGCAGAUGCUGGCGAUGCAGGUCCUUCUUCAUCAAACACCCCUCCACUAAGAUGACCAUCACAGGGCUCGGAUAGUCUCCAUAAGAUGGGUACCAAGAGACGCCGUGUUGAGGCGGAAUAUCCACCCGCAUCCUCACCACCACAACGGCGCAUCUCUACAGUGUCGUCCCAGCCACCACAAGCCUUUUUUGGCCAGUCCACAAAGCAAGGAACCACAAUCCCCUCAGCUGUCUGAACCACCCAUCAUGCCCGAGGAUACCCAGCAGGAAACUGACUUGCAAGAAUUGUACACACUACACCUGCAAGCGAUUGAUCCAAACCAGCCAACCACGCCGCAGGACAUAACCCAACCACCCCAAACAUCCCACAGCCCCCAAUUGAGCCCAACACCACCCCAGCCACAAAUGGGCCCAGAGUUUUGGUCCAGUUGGGCCACACAACAGGCGCAACACUAUGCCUGUCUGAACACCCACAGCCAAUACCUUGCCAGUCUGCCCCAUCAUCUGCCUAGACUCAGUCGGAACUCAGGCAGGCAGAGUAGCAAAUUCUAUGGAGCAGAUGAGGGCAGACAACAGCCAAAUGCACGCAAACUAAGCUCAAGCUCAGGAACAACCACACCAAGCCAGACCCCAGUUACCUCCCCAGUAAGACGACCAGCAGAAUCAGGACCAAUGAACCAUCCCAAUCCUCUGCACCCAGCAAACAAAAAACAAAGAAAUGAUCAAGGCUGCAGCAACAACUACAGUAUGUUAUUUGAAAAAUACAAAUUAUCGAAUUGAUUCACUCAAAAUGCCUGAGUUUAAGGUAAUACAUUA